GACGAACGCUGGCGGCGUGCCUAAUACAUGCAAGUUGAGCGAUGAAGAUUGGUGCUUGCACCAAUUUGAAGAGCAGCGAACGGGUGAGUAACGCGUGGGGAAUCUGCCUUUGAGCGGGGGACAACAUUUGGAAACGAAUGCUAAUACCGCAUAACAACUUUAAACAUAAGUUUUAAGUUUGAAAGAUGCAAUUGCAUCACUCAAAGAUGAUCCCGCGUUGUAUUAGCUAGUUGGUGAGGUAAAGGCUCACCAAGGCGAUGAUACAUAGCCGACCUGAGAGGGUGAUCGGCCACAUUGGGACUGAGACACGGCCCAAACUCCUACGGGAGGCAGCAGUAGGGAAUCUUCGGCAAAGGACGAAAGCCUGACCGAGCAACGCCGCGUGAGUGAAGAAGGUUUUCGGAUCGUAAAACUCUGUUGGUAGAGAAGAACGUGGGUGAGAGUGGAAAGCUCAUCAAGUGACGGUAACUACCCAGAAAGGGACGGCUAACUACGU
This 496-nucleotide ribosomal RNA is filed under the name uncultured bacterium. RNAcentral describes it as "partial 16S ribosomal RNA". It matches the Rfam family "Bacterial small subunit ribosomal RNA", at positions 28 to 506 of the family's 1533-position model. The record is from RNAcentral.